Molecule: ribosomal RNA, 447 nt
Filed under: uncultured bacterium
Lineage: Bacteria
Description: partial 16S ribosomal RNA
Rfam family: Bacterial small subunit ribosomal RNA
Source: RNAcentral
AACGAACGCUGGCGGCAGGCUUAACAAAUGCAAGUCGAACGCCCCGCAAGGGGAGUGGCAGACGGGUGAGUAACGCGUGGGAAUCUACCAAUCCCUACGGAACAACGCCGGGAAACUGGAAUUAAUACCGCAUGACCACUACGGAGCAAAGAUUUAUGGGAGAAGGAUGGGCCCGCGUUGGAUUUGGUAGUUGGUGGGGUAAAGGCCUACCAAGGCGACGAUCCAUAGCUGGUCUGAGAGGAUGAUCAGCCACAUUGGGACUGGGACACGGCCCAAACUACUACGGGAGGCAGAAAAGGGGAAUAUUGGAGAAUGGGCGCAAGCCUGAUCCAGCCAUGCCGGGUGAGUGAUGAAGGCCUUAGGGUUGUAAAGCUCUUUCACCGGAGAAGAUAAUGACGGUAUCCGGAGAAGAAGCCCCGGCUAACUUCGUGCCAGCCGCCGCCGUAA